AUGGAAGUGCUUUUCCGAAUAGGGCGGAGCGGCCCUGGAGCACCUAGGAACCGGAAAGAGAAGCGGCAGCUCCAGGGCUUGAGAGAUGAGCUUGACGCUUCAUUGGAGGAGGAGCUUCAACGGCGGCCAGAAGUAAGGAUCAUCAACAAGUAUGCAGUCGUCAUGGCGUACAUCCGAAUGGGCAUGAAAGGCGUGGGUGCGCUGGCUCUCUUGUGGGCCACCGUGGUCCUUCUUGGCGGCUUCGUCUCCGAUCUGAGGAAGAUAGAUUUCUGGUAUCUGACCAUGAUUGCAUUCGUGCAGGCUGCCGGGUUAGUAAUUAUAUUCAGCUCUCUCUUGUAUGCAAAAUUCCUGAGAAAGGUAUAG
RNAcentral lists this ribosomal RNA (363 nucleotides) under Triticum aestivum (bread wheat). RNAcentral describes it as "partial small subunit ribosomal RNA". The record is from RNAcentral. Lineage: Eukaryota; Viridiplantae; Streptophyta; Magnoliopsida; Poales; Poaceae.